CGACUUUUCUCUCGUUUUUUCAAGCUCAAUGUUGCUUUGACGGGUCUAUAAAGUAUGGUCCGUUGUAAAAUUAAGGCAUAGAACCUCGAUGUUUUCACACCAACCUGGUUUAUUUGAAGGAAUAUAAUCAAUUUCGUUCUUAUGUUUGCCGCAUGGUGAUCGCCAGGUUCAUUUGCGGCUGUUUUUUUUCUUAAAACACAUAUUAAGUAUUGUGAGUUUAUUUUCAAGGGCAAAGUCGAUUAGUAUUUGCCCUCUUUGGUUUCGUUCGCCGUAGGGUAGAUCGGGGACAAUAGAAACACGUCAUGAUUGAAACAAGUCAAAUUUCUCGAAAACUAUAAUACCUACGCGUCUGACGUAACACUCGGAACACGCGGUCGGCCAUGUUUGAAUCCUUGGCCAGUAGCGCUCGAGCGCCGGUGCGAGACGGGAGUGUCCACGAGCCAAACCAGUUUUUCGCGGUAAAAAAUGCCCCGAAAACGGAAGCAUGUUACGGAGAGAACCUCAAAAAGCAUGUUUGCCUAUCAACAGGCUUAUGAGGAAGUGAUCUCUGGAAAGUCCUUAAGAAAAGCGGCCCAAAUGUUUGAUGUCUCUUUGGCGAGAUACAAAAAAAAAGAGAAGCUGCGCCAGAUACGACACCCAUAGAAGAUAUAAAAAUGGGUUACAAUUCUGUAAAAAAAGUGUUUUCAACUGCUCAAGAAGAGGAGAUUGCUGAAUAUGCAAUAAAGUCAGCCGAUAUUUACUAUUACUACUAGAGUUAAGGAUUUCUUUUGAUAGGCAUAUCGCCAUGUUUUUGUUUACGUAAUAAAACAAUUUAUACUGAUUAUUUUA
This is a long non-coding RNA of Cydia pomonella (codling moth), 828 nucleotides long. RefSeq lists it as uncharacterized. The record is from RefSeq and is a predicted model, not a curated record. The transcript has 2 exons. Lineage: Eukaryota; Metazoa; Arthropoda; Insecta; Lepidoptera; Tortricidae.